CUAUUGGAGUUCGAUUAAGCCAUGCGAGUCUAAGGGAUCUUCGGAUCCCUGGCGUAAUGCUCAGUAACACGUGGAUAAUCUACCCUCAGGUGGGGCAUAAACCCGGGAAACUGGGGCCAAUUCCCCAUAGAUACAGAUCGCUGGAAUGCCUCUGUAUUCAAAGCUCCGGCGCCUGAGGAUGGGUCUGCGGCCUAUCAGGUUGUAGUCAGGGUCAAGACCUGACUAGCCGGCGACGGGUAUGGGGUGUGAGAGCACUUGCCCAGAGAUGGUUUCUGAGACACGAAACCAGGCCCUACGGGGCGCAGCAGGCGCGAAAACUUCGCAAUGCGGGAAACCGUGACGAGGGAACUCCAAGUGUCUAUGCAUUGCAUAGACUGUUUUUUAGCCUAAAUAGCUAUUAGAGUAAGGGGUGGGCAAGACCGGUGCCAGCCGCCGCGGUAACACCGGCACCCCGAGUGGUAGCCACUAUUAUUGGGCCUAAAGCGUUCGUAGCCGGUUUGGUAAAUUCUUGGGUAAAUCGUACCGCUUAACGGUGCGGAUUCCGGGGACACUACCAGACUUGAGACCGGGGGAGAUCAGAGGUACUUGUGGGGGAGCGGUGAAAUGUUGUAAUCCUGCAGGGACCACCAGUGGCGAAGGCGUCUGAUCAGAACGGCUCUGACGGUGAGGAACGAAACCCUGGGGCGCAAACGGGAUUAGAUACCCCGGUAGUCCAGGGCGUAAACGCUGCUGACUUGGUGUUGGGGAUCCUACGAGGAUGUCCAGUGCUGGCGCGAAGGUAUUAAGUCAGCCGCCUGGGGAGUACGGUCGCAAGACUGAAACUUAAAGGAAUUGGCGGGGGAGCACUGCAACGUGUGGAGCGUGCGGUUU
RNAcentral lists this ribosomal RNA (870 nucleotides) under uncultured archaeon. RNAcentral's name for it is "bacterial SSU rRNA". It matches the Rfam family "Archaeal small subunit ribosomal RNA", at positions 30 to 903 of the family's 1478-position model. The record is from RNAcentral.